RNAcentral lists this ribosomal RNA (3387 nucleotides) under Triticum aestivum (bread wheat). RNAcentral describes it as "partial small subunit ribosomal RNA". The record is from RNAcentral. Lineage: Eukaryota; Viridiplantae; Streptophyta; Magnoliopsida; Poales; Poaceae.
AUGCCAUCUUUCUCAACACCAUUGUUGUACCUCUGCCUACUGCUGGUGCCGUGCCUUCUUCUCUUGCAAGAAGCACACGCGGCGCGCCAUGGAGGGAUCUCACUGAGGUCCCAACACAUUGCCCUCCUCCACUGGAAAGCUACACUUGCAAGCCCACCGCUGCAGAUGAGCUCUUGGCAGGAAAACACCAGCCCAUGCAACUGGACGGGCAUCAUGUGCGCGGCUGUUCGUCGUGGCCGCCGUAUGCCCUGGGUGGUGACCAGCAUCUCCCUGCCAGACGCUGGCAUCCAUGGCCAACUUGGUGAGCUCAACUUCUUGGCUCUUCCAUUCCUUACAUAUAUUGACCUCAACAACAACAGUCUACAUGGUCCAAUACCAGCUAAUAUCAGCUCUCUAUCAUCACUAUCUUGUCUUGAUCUCGGCUUCAACCACCUCAAAGGGAAAAUUCCUCAUGAGAUAGGUGCCCUGCAAAGUCUCACGCAGCUUGAUCUGUCAUUUAACAGACUCACAGGACACAUUCCUGCGUCUAUGGGCAACCUAACAAUGUUAACUGUUCUGGUCAUUGGCCAAACCAUGGUAUCAGGUCCCAUUCCUGAGGAGAUUGGAAGACUUGUCAACCUACAAGCUCUACAGCUAAGCUACAGCACUUUAAGCGGCAUGAUACCAAAAACCAUUGGAAAUCUAACCCAGCUAAAUACUUUGUACCUGUUUGCUAAUCUACUUUCAGGGCCUAUACCCCAAGAACUAGGCAAGCUAGUUCAUUUGCAAUAUCUUGAGCUUGAUAGAAAUGUUUUUUCAGGACCAAUUCCAAUCUUCAUAACCAAUCUCACUAAGAUGAACACACUUUUUCUCUUUGACAAUCAAAUCUCAGGUCCAAUACCCCCAGAACUAGGCAAGCUCGCUAUGCUAAACGGACUUGAUCUCAGCAAAAAUCAAAUAACAGGUCCAAUACCCCCAGAACUAGGGAACCUAACUAUGCUCAACGAAAUUUUUCUCGAUGAUAACCAAAUCACAGGUCCAAUACCUUUAGGAUUGGGCAUCUUGCUGAAUCUCCAGUAUUUAAGCAUGUACAACAAUCAAAUAUCGGGCUCUGUUCCUGCCAGCUUAGGGAAUAUAACCAAGCUAGUUCAACUAGCCCUCUUUGAAAAUCAGAUAACAGGUUCCAUCCCCCAGGAAAUUGGCAAUCUAAUGAACCUCGAAUAUUUAGGCUUGUAUCAGAACCAAAUUUCGGGCUCAAUACCUAAAACUUUUGGGAAGUUGCAAAGCAUGCAAGAACUGCAAAUCUUUGAUAACAAAUUAUCAGGUUCUCUUCCUCAAGAAUUUGGAGAUCUCGUAAGCCUUGUUCAACUUGGGCUAGGUAACAACUCCCUUUCAGGACCUUUACCAGCAAAUAUAUGUUUAGGUCGCAAACUUAAAUUUCUCCAUGUCUAUUCUAAUAUGUUCAAUGGCCCCAUUCCAAGUAGUUUAAAGACAUGUACGAGUUUGGUUAGACUUCAGCUUCAGAAGAACCAACUAACCGGAGAUAUAUCUCAGCAUUUUGGUGUGUAUCCACAACUCAUAGAAAUGCGCUUGUCAUCUAAUAGACUCUCUGGGCAGAUCUCACCAAAUCUAGGUGCAUGUACCCAGCUAACAGUAUUAUCUCUAGGAAACAAUAUGAUCAGGGGUUCCAUACCUCCAUUCCUUUCUAAAUUGUCCAACCUAGAACAACUAAGACUUGAUUCUAAUCAUCUCAGCGGUGAGAUUCCACCAGAAAUCUUUAGUUUAGCAAAUCUAUAUAGACUGAACUUAUCGUCGAACCAGUUAUCUGGAUCCAUACCUACACAGAUAGAAAAGCUGAGCAAUCUAGGGUACCUUGAUAUGUCCGGGAACAGACUGGGUGGAUUGAUACCUGAAGAACUAGGGGCAUGCAUGAAACUAGAGUCCUUGAAGAUCAACAACAACAACUUCAGUGGGAGUUUGCCUGGUGCGGCUGGAAAUUUAGCACGCCUGCAGAUCAUGUUAGAUGUGAGCAAUAAUACCCUCAGUGGCGUGUUGCCGCAAGAGCUUGGGAAGUUGGAGAUGCUAGAAUUUCUGAAUUUAUCGCAUAAUCAGUUCAGUGGCAACAUUCCAUCCUCCUUUGCAAGCAUGAUGAGCCUUUCAACACUUGAUGUGUCCUACAACGACUUGGAAGGACCAGUCCCAACAACAUGGCAUCUCCGAAAUGCUUCAGAAACUUGGUUUCUUCCCAAUAAAGGCCUGUGUGGUAACCUCUCUGGCCUGCCACCUUGUUAUUCAACCCCAGUGGCUGCUCACCAAAAAGGGAAAAUACUUGGUUUGCUUUUGCCAAUUGUUCUUGUGAUGGGUUUUGGCAUUGCUGCUGCAAUUGUUGUCAUAAUAAUACUUACUCGUAAGAAGAGAAAUCCACAAGAAAGUGUUACCGCUGAAGCAAGGGACCUAUUCUCUGUUUGGAAUUUUGAUGGAAGAUUAGCAUUUGAUGAUAUUGUAAGGGCAACAGAAGACUUUGAUGAUAAGUACAUCAUUGGAACAGGAGGAUACAGCAAAGUCUACAAGGCACAACUCCAAGAUGGGCAGCUGGUUGCUGUGAAGAAGCUUCAUCAGACCGAAGAGUUAAAUGAUGAAAGAAGAUUUCGUAGUGAAAUGGAAAUCUUAACACAGAUCCGACAACGAAGCAUUGUCAAAAUGUAUGGAUUCUGCUCCCAUCCAGUGUAUAAAUUUCUAGUCUACGACUACAUUCAGCAGGGAAGCCUCCACAGAAUAUUGGAAAAUCAGGAGCUAGCAAAGGAAUUAGAUUGGAAGAAGAGAAUUGCUCUUGCAACUGAUGUGGCUCAAGCAAUAUCUUAUUUGCACCACGAAUGCAGACCACCUAUAAUCCAUCGAGAUAUCACAAGCAACAACAUCUUACUUGAUACAUCCUUCAAGGCUUUUGUCUCGGAUUUCGGCACGGCAAGGAUUCUUAAGCCCGAUUCAUCAAACUGGAGUGCACUAGCAGGAACGUACGGCUACAUAGCUCCUGAACUGUCAUACACAUCUGUUGCGACAGAGAAAUGUGAUGUUUAUAGCUUUGGGGUGGUUGUGUUAGAGCUAGUGAUGGGCAAGCAUCCAAGGGAUUUAUUAGAUGGUAGUCUUUCUAACGGCGAACAAGCAAUAAUGGUGAAAGAUAUUCUGGACCAACGUCCGACAACACCAAUAUCAACUGAAGAGAAUAGCUUAGCUCUGCUCAUCAAGCUGGCCUUAUCUUGUUUGGAAUCUUCUCCCCAAGCAAGGCCAACCAUGCGGGGGGCAUACCAAACACUCAUCCAGCGACCAUCUUCUAGUUCAACUACCGUGCCUUUCAGCGCACUUACAUUACAACAAGGGAUGCAUGUUGACAUAAGGCCUCAAUCCUAG